Molecule: ribosomal RNA, 702 nt
Filed under: Triticum aestivum (bread wheat)
Lineage: Eukaryota; Viridiplantae; Streptophyta; Magnoliopsida; Poales; Poaceae
Description: partial small subunit ribosomal RNA
Source: RNAcentral
AUGGUUUCGGCCGACGCAGCUCGCAACGUCGUCGGCAUCAUGGGCAAUUGCAUCUCCUUUUGCCUCUUCCUCUCCCCUGCGCAGACAUUUGACCGGAUUUGCAAGAACAAGGACGUGGAGCAGUUCACGCCGGACCCCUACCUGGCGACGCUCAUGAACUGCCUGCUCUGGUUCUUCUACGGCCUCCCAAUCGUCCACCCGAACAGCCUCCUCGUCAUCACCAUCAACAGCAUCGGCAUCAUCAUCGAGACAAUCUACCUCUCCAUCUUCUUCCUCUACUCGCCCCCAAAGAAGCGGCUAAAGAUACUUCUCGUUGUUGGCUUUGAGGUGGCGUUCGUGGCGUCCGUGGUGGUCGGAGUGCUCCUCAGCGCCCACACCUACGAGGACCGCUCCAGGAUCGUCGGCAUCAUCUGCAUCGUCUUCGGCACGAUUAUGUAUGCCGCCCCGCUCACAGUCAUGGGGAAAGUUAUCAAGACAAAGAGCGUGGAGUAUAUGCCAUUCACCGUGUCUCUGGUGAACACUAUCAACGGCUGCUGCUGGCUAGCCUAUGGGCUGAUAGGGAACGACCCCUAUGUGACGAUCCCUAAUGCCAUCGGUACAGUUUUGUGCAUCUUCCAGCUGAUCCUUUACGUGUGCUACUACAAGUCGACCCCCGUCAAGGAGCAGAAUGUCGAGUUGCCCGCCGCCGCCACAGAGAACUAA